GCGGUUGGGCCGAGGGAGACGGCCUCAGUGGCCGAGGUGGCUGGACGCGUAGCAGGUGGAAGGAGGGAGGGAGCCGCAGGCGCAGACCCACCCGCCAUGAAGCCCCCCGCAGCCUGUGCAGGAGACGUGGCGGACGCAGCAUCUCCGUGUUCUGUGCUAAACGACCUGCGAUGGGACCUGAGCGCCCAGCAGAUAGAGGAGCGCACCAGGGAGCUCAUUGAGCAGACCAAACGCGUGUACGACCAGGUCGGCACCCAGGAGUUUGAGGACGUGUCCUACGAGAGCACGCUCAAGGCGCUGGCCGAUGUGGAGGUCACCUACACAGCACGUUUCCCCCUCCAAGGACAUUCGGACGGCCAGCACGGAGGCCGACAAGAAGCUCUCUGAGUUCGACGUGGAGAUGAGCAUGAGGGAGGACGUG
Molecule: small RNA, 421 nt
Filed under: Pongo abelii (Sumatran orangutan)
Lineage: Eukaryota; Metazoa; Chordata; Mammalia; Primates; Hominidae
Description: processed transcript
Source: RNAcentral